RNAcentral lists this ribosomal RNA (788 nucleotides) under uncultured bacterium. RNAcentral describes it as "bacterial SSU rRNA". It matches the Rfam family "Bacterial small subunit ribosomal RNA", at positions 8 to 796 of the family's 1533-position model. The record is from RNAcentral.
AGAGUUUGAUCAUGGCUCAGAUUGAACGCUGGCGGCAUGCCUUACACAUGCAAGUCGAACGGCAGCACGGGGGCCCCUGGUGGCGAGUGGCGAACGGGUGAGUAAUACAUCGGAACGUGUCCUGAGUGGGGGAUAGCCCGGCGAAAGCCGGAUUAAUACCGCAUACGCUCUACGGAGGAAAGGGGGGGAUCUUAGGACCUCCCGCUACAGGGGCGGCCGAUGGCAGAUUAGCUAGUUGGUGGGGUAAAGGCCUACCAAGGCGACGAUCUGUAGCUGGUCUGAGAGGACGACCAGCCACACUGGGACUGAGACACGGCCCAGACUCCUACGGGAGGCAGCAGUGGGGAAUUUUGGACAAUGGGGGAAACCCUGAUCCAGCAAUGCCGUGUGUGUGAAGAAGGCCUUCGGGUUGUAAAGCACUUUUGUCCGGAAAGAAAUCCUCUUCGCUAAUACCGAGGGGGGAUGACGGUACCGGAAGAAUAAGCACCGGCUAACUACGUGCCAGCAGCCGCGGUAAUACGUAGGGUGCAAGCGUUAAUCGGAAUUACUGGGCGUAAAGCGUGCGCAGGCGGUUCGCUAAGACAGAUGUGAAAUCCCCGGGCUUAACCUGGGAACUGCAUUUGUGACUGGCGGGCUAGAGUAUGGCAGAGGGGGGUAGAAUUCCACGUAGCAGUGAAAUGCGUAGAGAUGUGGAGGAAUACCGAUGGCGAAGGCAGCCCCCUGGGCCAAUACUGACGCUCAUGCACGAAAGCGUGGGGAGCAAACAGGAUUAGAUACCCUAGUAGUCC